GACGAACGCUGGCGGCGUGCUUAACACAUGCAAGUCGAACGGAAAGGCCCUGCUUUUGUGGGGUGCUCGAGUGGCGAACGGGUGAGUAACACGUGAGUAACCUGCCCUUGACUUUGGGAUAACUUCAGGAAACUGGGGCUAAUACCGGAUAGGAGCUCCUGCUGCAUGGUGGGGGUUGGAAAGUUUCGGCGGUUGGGGAUGGACUCGCGGCUUAUCAGCUUGUUGGUGGGGUAGUGGCUUACCAAGGCUUUGACGGGUAGCCGGCCUGAGAGGGGGACCGGCCACAUUGGGACUGAGAUACGGCCCAGACUCCUACGGGAGGCAGCAGUGGGGAGUAUUGCACAAUGGGCGGAAGCCUGAUGCAGCAACGCCGCGUGCGGGAUGACGGCCUUCGGGUUGUAAACCGCUUUCGCCUGUGACGAAGCGUGAGUGACGGUAAUGGGUAAAGAAGCACCGGCUAACUACGUG
This 468-nucleotide ribosomal RNA is filed under the name uncultured bacterium. Its description in RNAcentral is "partial 16S ribosomal RNA". It matches the Rfam family "Bacterial small subunit ribosomal RNA", at positions 28 to 507 of the family's 1533-position model. The record is from RNAcentral.